AGAGUUUGAUCAUGGCUCAGGACGAACGCUGGCGGCGUGCUUAACACAUGCAAGUCGAGCGGAAAGGCCCUUCGGGGUACUCGAGCGGCGAACGGGUGAGUAACACGUGGGCAACCUGCCCCUAGCUCUGGGAUAACUCCGGGAAACCGGGGCUAAUACCGGAUACGAUCUUCCACGGCAUCUCGGAAGAUGGAAAGUUUUUCGGCUAGGGAUGGGCCCGCGGCCUAUCAGCUUGUUGGUGAGGUAACGGCCCACCAAGGCGACGACGGGUAGCCGGCCUGAGAGGGCGACCGGCCACACUGGGACUGAGACACGGCCCAGACUCCUACGGGAGGCAGCAGUGGGGAAUAUUGGGCAAUGGGCGCAAGCCUGACCCAGCAAUUCCGCGUGGGUGAAGAAGGUCUUCGGAUUGUAAAGCCCUUUCGGCGGGGACGAUGGUGACGGUACCCGCAGAAGAAGCCCCGGCUAACUUCGUGCCAGCAGCCGCGGUAAUACGAAGGGGGCUAGCGUUGCUCGGAAUCAUUGGGCGUAAAGGGCGCGUAGGCGGCGCAGCUAGUCAGGCGUGAAACCCCCGGGCUCAACCCGGGGACUGCGUUUGAUACGGCUAGGCUAGAGGAUGGAAGAGGGUCGCGGAAUUCCCAGUGUAGAGGUGAAAUUCGUAGAUAUUGGGAAGAACACCGGUGGCGAAGGCGGCGACCUGGUCCAUUACUGACGCUGAGGCGCGACAGCGUGGGGAGCAAACAGGAUUAGAUACCCCCGUAGUCC
Molecule: ribosomal RNA, 765 nt
Filed under: uncultured bacterium
Lineage: Bacteria
Description: bacterial SSU rRNA
Rfam family: Bacterial small subunit ribosomal RNA
Source: RNAcentral